This 316-nucleotide ribosomal RNA is filed under the name uncultured Alphaproteobacteria bacterium. RNAcentral's name for it is "bacterial SSU rRNA". It matches the Rfam family "Bacterial small subunit ribosomal RNA", at positions 1 to 346 of the family's 1533-position model. The record is from RNAcentral. Lineage: Bacteria; Pseudomonadati; Pseudomonadota; Alphaproteobacteria.
UAGUGAGUUUGAUCCUGGCUCAGAACGAACGCUGGCGGCAGGCCUAACACAUGCAAGUCGAACGGGUCCUUCGGGACUAGUGGCGGACGAGUGAGUAACGCGUGGGAACGUGCCCUUUGGUUCGGAAUAGCCUCGGGAAAACCGGGAGUAAUACCGGAUGAGCCCUUCGGGGGAAAGAUUUAUCGCCAAAGGAUCGGCCCGCGUUGGAUUAGGUAGUUGGUGGGGUAAUGGCCUACCAAGCCGACGAUCCAUAGCUGGUUUGAGAGGACGAUCAGCCACACGUGGGACUGAGACACGGCCCAGACUCCGUACGGGA